RNAcentral lists this ribosomal RNA (591 nucleotides) under Colletotrichum siamense. Its description in RNAcentral is "eukaryotic LSU rRNA". The stretch from base 228 to 381 matches the Rfam family "5.8S ribosomal RNA". The record is from RNAcentral. Lineage: Eukaryota; Fungi; Ascomycota; Sordariomycetes; Glomerellales; Glomerellaceae.
AGGAAGUAAAAGUCGUAACAAGGUCUCCGUUGGUGAACCAGCGGAGGGAUCAUUACUGAGUUUACGCUCUAUAACCCUUUGUGAACAUACCUAUAACUGUUGCUUCGGCGGGUAGGGUCUCCGUGACCCUCCCGGCCUCCCGCCCCCGGGCGGGUCGGCGCCCGCCGGAGGAUAACCAAACUCUGAUUUAACGACGUUUCUUCUGAGUGGUACAAGCAAAUAAUCAAAACUUUUAACAACGGAUCUCUUGGUUCUGGCAUCGAUGAAGAACGCAGCGAAAUGCGAUAAGUAAUGUGAAUUGCAGAAUUCAGUGAAUCAUCGAAUCUUUGAACGCACAUUGCGCCCGCCAGCAUUCUGGCGGGCAUGCCUGUUCGAGCGUCAUUUCAACCCUCAAGCUCUGCUUGGUGUUGGGGCCCUACAGCUGAUGUAGGCCCUCAAAGGUAGUGGCGGACCCUCCCGGAGCCUCCUUUGCGUAGUAACUUUACGUCUCGCACUGGGAUCCGGAGGGACUCUUGCCGUAAAACCCCCAAUUUUCCAAAGGUUGACCUCGGAUCAGGUAGGAAUACCCGCUGAACUUAAGCAUAUCAAUAA